UACGUAGGGUGCAAGCGUUAAUCGGAAUUACUGGGCGUAAAGCGUGCGCAGGCGGUUAUGUAAGACAGAUGUGAAAUGCCCGGGCUUAACCUGGGAACUGCAUUUGUGACUGCAUGGCUAGAAUCUGGCAGAGGGGGGUAGAAUUCCACGUGUAGCAGUGAAAUGCGUAGAUAUGUGGAGGAACACCGAUGGCGGAGGCAGCCCCCUGGGUCAAGAUUGACGCUCAUGCACGAAAGCGUGGGGAGCAAACAGG
Molecule: ribosomal RNA, 253 nt
Filed under: uncultured bacterium
Lineage: Bacteria
Description: partial 16S ribosomal RNA
Rfam family: Bacterial small subunit ribosomal RNA
Source: RNAcentral